CUACUAUGGUUACUUCGAUUACUGGGGACAAGGUACCAUGGUGACCAUCAGUUCAGCGACCCCAGCUGCCCCGUCUCUUUUCCCACUCAUCUCUUCCUGCGGGGCCGACCUGAGCCAAGAUCCUGUCGCACUGGGCUGCUUGGCUAAGGACUUCCUUCCGGACUCAAUCACUUUCUCCUGGAAUGAUAACAAAAAUGCCAGCAUCACCGAUGGCAUCAAGAAAUUCCCUUCAGUCCUGAAUACAGCUGGGACCUACACUGCCACCACUCAGCUAUCGGUCACCGCCUCCGAAGCACAAGGAGUUUUCUAUUGCUCAGCUGAGCACCCAAAUGGGAUUAGGACUGUCCGUGUAGAUCCACAUCGUCCUUGUACUACUGAACCCAGUAUGACCAUCCGCCCCCCAGCCAGAGACCAAUUCCUAGAGCCCAAUAAAACCUCCACCAUCAUCUGCAGCGUUAAGAACUUAUGCAGCCAGGCCGUUACCCUGAAGUGGCUGAAGGAAGGGGUAGAGGUCAGCUCUGGAAUCCACACUGUUGGCCCUGUCUCCAGUGGCCGUAAUGGUUACACCCUCAGCAGCGAACUGACUGUCUCGGAGAAAGAUUGGGAUAACGACCGUGUGUACAGCUGCAAGGUGGAGAGCAAGAAUUUCAGUGACAUAAGGAACAUUAGCAAGUGUUUUGAGUGUGGAGGUGAGUGUUCCCCUUCUGACAUCGGCACCCAGCUAAUCCCGCCUAAUUUUGCUGAUAUUUACAUCCGCAAAUCGGCCAUACUGACCUGCAGGGUCAUUAACAUGCAAUCCACGGAGGGGCUCAACGUGAUCUGGAUGAGAGAGGAUGGCAAGGAGCUGAAGACCAGUAUCGGAGAACGCAAGGUGCAGAGCAACGGCCGUUUCAGCGUGGAUGCCACAACCUCCGUGUGCGCGGAUGAGUGGGAGAGAGGAGACGAGUACACCUGCGAAGUGAUUCAUCCAGAGCUCAUCUUCCCCCUUAAAAAGACUUUGACCAAACAGCCUGUAACCAACAGCCACGCUCCGUCCGUCUACAUCUUCCCUCCUCCUGCCGAGCAGCUGGCCCUCCGCGAAGCUGCCACCGUCACCUGCCUGGUGAAAAGUUUCAACCCUCCUGACCUCUUCAUCAAGUGGCUGAGCAACGGCGAGGAGCUGAACGCCUCCAAGUACAUCAGCACCCAGCCCAUCCAGGAGUCCAGCCAGCCGCUGCUGUACUUCGCCUACAGCACCCUGCAGAUCAGUGAACAGGAGUGGAACGCCGGCAACACCUACACCUGCUUAGUCGGACAUGAGAAGCUACCCCUGCAGGUGACCCAGAGGACCGUGGACAAGUCCACCGUUUAUCUAGAUGGAUUCAUGGAUGCUGAAGAGGAAGACUUCUACAACCUCUGGACAACAGCCUCCACUUUUAUUAUCCUCUUCCUCCUGAGUCUUUUCUACAGCACCACGGUGACACUGAUCAAGGUGAAAUAAACCCAACAGCCCAAGAUUGUUCCAGCCAAAGGAGCCCACGGAAAGCGAUUUUCCUGAAGAACAGUUCCAAACUUUGCUCCACUCUGUCACCUGCAUAAUUGCUGUGUUCACCUGCCUGUGGAACGUUCUCAGACAUCAUCUGAAUGUAACUGGACUUUCUGUCUAUUGUUUAUGCUCUUUCAUCUCCAUUUUUAAUGCACAUUUGGCCAGUUUUUUAUUUCUUUCUGUCCUGGUAAUCUCUGCUUUAUGCAAAACGCAAUCUCUGCUAGCAUAAGAAGUUGCACAUUAAUGGAUAUAUGUAAUCAAACUGCACAACUUGUCGUUUCCCCAGGCGUUUGUACUUCUCACUCUGUACAUAUUUUUCAUGUUGAAAUAAAGAGAUUUAUUAUGUUGACA
Non-coding RNA from Gopherus flavomarginatus (Mexican gopher tortoise), 1876 nucleotides. The record is from the annotation of a RefSeq genome assembly. NCBI's taxonomy places the organism in Eukaryota, Metazoa, Chordata, Testudines, Testudinidae.